Long non-coding RNA from Spodoptera frugiperda (fall armyworm), 1405 nucleotides. RefSeq lists it as uncharacterized. The record is from RefSeq and is a predicted model, not a curated record. The transcript has 5 exons. NCBI's taxonomy places the organism in Eukaryota, Metazoa, Arthropoda, Insecta, Lepidoptera, Noctuidae.
UCUGAGCUCUUAUACCUGUGUGAACUUGGCACCCGACUUUGGAAAUAUUGGUAUUUUCAAUGGUUUUUCGAAAGAUUUCGAUUAGUAGUGGAUAGUAGUGAAGCUAUUUUUGUUAGUAGUAAUACCGAAAAAUUAGAAAAAAAUUGUAAAAAAAUGUCAUCCCCCGAAAUUAAAAAAAAAUGAUUUUUCCGGCUGUUUCUCAUAAAUGAACGUUAGUAGUGGAUUGUAGUGCAAUUUUAUUCGUUUGUAGUAAAAUAGAAAAAAAAAUAUUAAAAAAUUCGUUUCGGAGUAUUUUUUUAAAACGAUUUUUAUUACCUAAAUACUGUUUCAAGGCAUGUACGAUUACUACAAACGUUAAAAUUUACUAAAAAGGGUUCGUAGAGGUUAGUAGUAAAAGAAUUUUUGAUAGUAGUAAAGAUACAUGUUGACUAGAAGCACUUGAAAUGAGUCAAACUCGUUUCGGACCGAUAUUUGCUGGAUAAAAUCUGUUUGAAGAUAAAUUCGACUACUACAAACGUUGGAAUUGACUAAAAAGGGUUCGUAGAGGUUAGUAGAGGUUUGUAGUGAAAUAAUUUUCGAUAGUAGUAAAGAUACAUGUUGACUAGAAGCACUUGAGAUGAGUCAAACUCGUUUCGGACCGAUAUUUGCUGGAUAAAAUCUGUUUGAAGAUAAAUACGACUACUACAAACGUUGGAAUUGAUUAAAAAGGGUUCGUAGAGGUUAGUAGAGGUUUGUAGUGAAAGAAUUUUCGAUAGUAGUAAAGAUACAUGUUGACUAGAAGCACUUGAGAUGAGUCAAACUCGUUUCGGAGCGAUAUUUGCUGAACAAAAUCUGUUGGAAGAUAAAUUCGACUACUACAAACGUUGGAAUUGAUUAAAAAGGGUUCGUAGAUGUUAGUAGAGGUUUGUAGUGAAAGAAUUUUCGAUAGUAGUAAAGAUACAUGUUGACUAGAAGCACUUGAGAUGAGUCAAACUCGUUUUGGAGCGAUAUUUGCAGGAUAAAAUCUGUUGGAAGAUAAAUUCGACUACUACAAACGUUGGAAUUGACUAAAAAGGGUUCGUAGAGGUUAGUAGAGGUUUGUAGUGAAAGAAUUUUCGAUAGUAGUAAAGAUACAUGUUGACUAGAAGCACUUGAGAUGAGUCAAACUCGUUUCGGAGCGAUAUUUGCUGAACAAAAUCUGUUGGAAGAUAAAUUCGACUACUACAAACGUUGGAAUUGAUUAAAAAGGGUUCGUAGAGGUUAGUAGAGGUUUGUAGUGAAAGAAUUUUCGAUAGUAGUAAAGAUACAUGUUGACUAGAAGCACUUGAGAUGAGUCAAACUCGUUUCGGACCGAUAUUUGCAGGAUAAAAUCUGUUGGAAGAUAAAUUCGACUACUACAAACGUUGGAUUUGACUAAAAAGGGUUC